Molecule: transfer RNA, 58 nt
Filed under: Albinaria caerulea
Lineage: Eukaryota; Metazoa; Mollusca; Gastropoda; Stylommatophora; Clausiliidae
Description: tRNA-Ser(AGN)
Source: RNAcentral
CAAGAAACGGAAUAAUAUAUCCCAAAUUAAAGUUAGCAGCCUCAAUUUAUAAUUUCUU